GCCGGGAUAGCUUGAGACGGUAGAGCACAAGACUCUUCGUCUCAGGGACGUGGGUUUAAGCCCCACCUUGGGCA
Molecule: non-coding RNA, 74 nt
Organism: Podarcis lilfordi (Lilford's wall lizard)
Lineage: Eukaryota; Metazoa; Chordata; Lepidosauria; Squamata; Lacertidae
Source: the annotation of a GenBank genome assembly